AGGGGCAGAGAAACACAUUGUCAGAGGCAGCGGUGGCAAUCGAUGAGCGUGAUGCCCCAAUAGUCACGAUGCUGGGCAUUCGUCGACCUCCAUCAUAGGACUCGAGGGCUUGGUCCCAAUCGAGCUUAGGGCACUGCUCCAAGAGGGAGCACAGAGCACGGAGAUGGGCACGAUGGCCAGUGGAGGGAGGAGGAGUGCAUCAUCAGAGGUGGCAUCAGCGGCAACCACCGAGCAUGAUGCCUCGACAGUCGUGGAGCUGGAUGGGAGGUGGUGGCGAGGAGAAUGGGGAGGAGGGUGGCGAGGGCUCGACAAGGUUCAAAGCAAAAAAAAUGAAAAAAAAAAGAAAAGAAAACACCUGGGGGAGAUUGGAGGAGGAAGGGCGAUGCCGGUGAUG
This 394-nucleotide long non-coding RNA is filed under the name Elaeis guineensis (African oil palm). RNAcentral describes it as "long non-coding RNA (EGUI_LNC037021)". Lineage: Eukaryota; Viridiplantae; Streptophyta; Magnoliopsida; Arecales; Arecaceae. The record is from RNAcentral.